This is a non-coding RNA of Pelobates cultripes (western spadefoot toad), 260 nucleotides long. The record is from the annotation of a GenBank genome assembly. NCBI's taxonomy places the organism in Eukaryota, Metazoa, Chordata, Amphibia, Anura, Pelobatidae.
GCGGAAUCGGGUUACGAAAUGAUGCAUAUCUGAAAAGCGUGUCACAAUAUGAAAUGCUUGGAAAGCUCUACAGUAGACUAUUGCCCCUCAUGUUUUCCCUUCCAAGCCAGCUGGUAAGUCUCAUCUCUAAUUCUUGAGUCAACAGAGAAUGUGUGCUGCUUUUGCACAGUUCAGCACAGCUCUAUGCAGUACAAAAUGAUGCCUCCAAUUACAAGCUGCAGUGAGCCGCCCAUAACUGCACUAAUUUGUGCUAUACAUGC